UAAGUACGUAACUGUAACCAAGUGCGCAGUUGCAAAAGCUAAAAUCUCUCUGUUCGAGACGAGUACGGCAACGCUGAGGGGAAACGAAUGUCUCUCCCCUUAUAUUCAUUUGAAAUGACGUAUUUCUCCCUUGUAAAAGGGAACCAGUAUAGGGGUCCUGUGUAAGAACCAGUAUAGGGAUCGGUGUUGGUUCUAACUGGUAUUGAAGGAGUACAGCUAGGAAUAAGCUACUUUUACAAUGUAUCCACCUACUGUUAAGAAGAAAUAUUAUUAAAAAAAACCCGGGA
This is a long non-coding RNA of Macrobrachium nipponense, 287 nucleotides long. RefSeq lists it as uncharacterized. The record is from RefSeq and is a predicted model, not a curated record. Lineage: Eukaryota; Metazoa; Arthropoda; Malacostraca; Decapoda; Palaemonidae. The transcript is spliced from 2 exons.